ACGGAAGGCAGCAGUGAGGAAUAUUGGUCAAUGGGCGGAAGCCUGAACCAGCCAAGUAGCGUGCAGGAUGACGGCCCUAUGGGUUGUAAACUGCUUUUAUACGGGAAUAAAGUGCGGCACGUGUGCCGCUUUGCAUGUACCGUAAGAAUAAGCAUCGGCUAAUUCCGUGCCAGCAGCCGCGGUAAUACGGAAGAUGCGAGCGUUAUCCGGAUUUAUUGGGUUUAAAGGGAGCGUAGGCGGAAGAUUAAGUCAGCCGUGAAAUCCCGUCGCUUAACGACGGAACUGCGGUUGAUACUGGUUUUCUUGAGUGCACAUAAGGAAGGUGGAAUUUGUGGUGUAGCGGUGAAAUGCUUAGAUAUCACGAAGAACUCCGAUUGCGAAGGCAGCCUUCUGGGGUGCAACUGACGCUGAGGCUCGAAAGUGCGGGUAUCAAACAGGAUUAGAUACCCUGGUA
Molecule: ribosomal RNA, 454 nt
Filed under: uncultured Bacteroides sp.
Lineage: Bacteria; Pseudomonadati; Bacteroidota; Bacteroidia; Bacteroidales; Bacteroidaceae
Description: partial 16S ribosomal RNA
Rfam family: Bacterial small subunit ribosomal RNA
Source: RNAcentral